GACGAACGCUGGCGGCGUGCUUAACACAUGCAAGUCGAACGGAAAGGCCCUGCUUUUGUGGGGUGCUCGAGUGGCGAACGGGUGAGUAACACGUGAGUAACCUGCCCUUGACUUUGGGAUAACUUCAGGAAACUGGGGCUAAUACCGGAUAGGAGCUCCUGCUGCAUGGUGGGGGUUGGAAAGUUUCGGCGGUUGGGGAUGGACUCGCGGCUUAUCCGCUUGUUGGUGGGGUAGUGGCUUACCAAGGCUUUGACGGGUAGCCGGCCUGAGAGGGUGACCGGCCACAUUGGGACUGAGAGACGGCCCAGACUCCUACGGGAGGCAGCAGUGGGGAAUAUUGCACAAUGGGCGGAAGCCUGAUGCAGCAACGCCGCGUGCGGGAUGACGGCCUUCGGGGUGUAAACCGCUUUCGCCGGUGACGAAGCGUGAGUGACGGUAAUGGGUAAAGAAGCACCGGCUAACUACGUG
This 468-nucleotide ribosomal RNA is filed under the name uncultured bacterium. RNAcentral describes it as "partial 16S ribosomal RNA". It matches the Rfam family "Bacterial small subunit ribosomal RNA", at positions 28 to 507 of the family's 1533-position model. The record is from RNAcentral.